AACAGCCGUAGACACCGCUAGCUUGCACCGUCGUGCGCCCCAGGCGCAGCCGACGUACGCAAAGUGGUCUUGCAUCUGAUUGAAACAUCUUGAACACACACACACACACACACGCACACACACACACACUCUUUCCCAUCACUGCCACCGCUGUCGUGCAGCUGCGGCGCGUAUCUGGGAGUUCGCGUGAGUGCGAGCGGUGCCGCCCCCUUCUUUUCCUCCUCCCCGCUGACGCCCCUUUCACUGCUUUGGCUCUGUUCUCCUUGUCUAUCGUGAUCACUAGCAGUAGUAGUUGAGGACUAGUAUCAGCUGCCCUUCCCUCCCUCCCUCCCUCCCGUAGUCUGCUCUUGCUUUCUCUUCGCCUCUUCGUUUCUUCUUCUUUUCUUCGGCACGGCUGCUCGGGUCCGAUGCUGCGUCUUAUUCAGCCAACCUUGACGGCGAUGCGCUGGGUCGCUGCUGCCUCUGCUUCUGCGGCCGCGGUGGCGCCGACGACAAGCUACCCGUCCACAAACGCGGCGCUCCUUGCGAAUACCCGCGCCAUCCACGGUGAGGUGCGUCACCAGAACACGGACUACGACAACACCCGAAUUCCGUGGGACUUCACCACAGCCAGCUACGAGAAGAUUCACAACGAGAUCUUGCCCAAGUUUCCACGCGGCAGGCGAAUCUCAGCCACCAUUCCGCUGCUGCAUCUCGCCCAGCAGCAGCAGGGCGGGUACAUCCCGGUGACAGCCAUGUACAAAAUAGCAAAGAUUUGUGAAGUGCCACCGAUGCAUGUCUUCGAGACGGUCACCUUCUACUCCAUGUUCAACCGGCACCCGGUUGGUAAGUACCACAUCCAAUUCUGCCGCACCACCCCCUGCAUGCUGUGCGGCGCCGACGAGCUGAUGGAACGCACCAUGCACUAUCUGAACGUGCGCAUGCACGGCACGACAAGCGACGGCCUUAUCACGAUUGGCGAGAUGGAGUGCCUCGGCGCGUGCGUGAACGCACCAAUGCUGGUGGUGAGUGACUACAGCAACCCGCCCAACUUUUCGUACGACUACAUGGAGGACUUAACGUGGGAGAGCAUCAAGACGCUCGUGGAGAACCUCCGUGGCGGAAAACCUUUCAAAAUCGGCUCGCAGCGUCCAGAUCGCAGGUACGCUGAGCCGGCCGGUGGGCGCACGUCGCUCCUGUUCAAGGAACCGCCAGGUCCGUACUGCCGUGACUUCGACGCCGAACCGGACGAGAAGGCGGACGCCGCGCCGCCCAAGAAGUAGUCGUACCCUUUUAGUUCUGUUGAUGUAUGCGCUUAUUGGUUCUCUCUCUGCGUACCG
RNAcentral lists this unclassified non-coding RNA (1319 nucleotides) under Leishmania donovani. RNAcentral describes it as "gene:LdHU3.17.0590(CDS-product:NADH-ubiquinone_ox idoreductase_mitochondrial_putative)". The record is from RNAcentral. Lineage: Eukaryota; Euglenozoa; Kinetoplastea; Trypanosomatida; Trypanosomatidae.